AACUAUACUCUCCAUUGGUGCCUACCCUUGACAUAUGGAGGCCUCUACAAUCUCCAUCAUUGUCAGCUCUUCAUUGUUCAUCAUAUAUUGAAAUUAGUCCUAUAGUAAGAGCCAUUUCACUCGCAAACUAGGAUUUGGGAGAAGAUUGCUUAACAGUCUUCUUUGGUUGGGUCUAGGUACUAGAAGGAGAUCCACCAAC
Molecule: long non-coding RNA, 199 nt
Filed under: Elaeis guineensis (African oil palm)
Lineage: Eukaryota; Viridiplantae; Streptophyta; Magnoliopsida; Arecales; Arecaceae
Description: long non-coding RNA (EGUI_LNC033131)
Source: RNAcentral